UUCACUUGCAGUUGCCCCAACGGCCAUGAGUAGAUAUUAACUUCGAUAAUUCACAUCAUUUAUGCAACUUUUCGAUUAUGCCAAAAGGGGAAAAAUAUUGUGCAUAAAAUGUUUUUCUGAACUAGUGAUGUUUAUGACCUAAAUCUGACCUCCUUAAUGAUAUGUUAAAUGAUUUUAUAAGUGUUGAUUUCAGUUAAAUCUAUAGUUCCUGGUCAUAAUAAGCACAGAGUUUGUCAUCAUCAAAAAGAGGAAAAUUUUUUGCCCAAGUUUCAGUUGAAGUUUUGAAGAUCGACAAAUGAACUGAUAAAAGGACCUGGUCUAUCUUGUAUUACAUAGUCUAAAUCAACAUGGGCACAUGCAGAGCACGUGAGGAAGAUAAUGCACCAAAGAUCACGUAUCAUCAAUAUCUUCUAAUCAUAAUCGAAAAGAUUGCAUUGGGAUAAGAAGCACAGUCUCCUUAUGAGAAGAAAACUUAAUCCUAAGUUAUGAUAAGGGUUGGAGUUUGCAUUGGGCAAGGACUCGAAUUGUGAAUGGAUAUCAAGUGGAGUCUUAAUCAAACUCUGACUUCUAACUCAAUAUAUGAUUGAGUUAUUUCUCUUUUCAGGCAACGCACACAAGCAGAAGUAAAAGCAUAUUUGAGAGCUAAAGAGCGAAAUCUGAUUAGCAAGAAAUAUAUGCAAGUUACAAGUGUGGACACCUAGAGCUACAUGAAUCUAGAGAAGAACCAGUUCCAUCUGAUUGUUUUAUUUCUAGUUCAAUUGUAGUAGGUUUUAUAUUGUACCUUUCAGCUUUCCUAGAAGCAAUUGUAUUAGGUACGUUGUGUCAUCAAGUUAGAGUUAACUUGAUAGUGUCGCAUCAGCUGAGGCUGUGUGCCAUACUUGGAUUAGAGUUUAAUCCUUAGGUUUACAAGAGUUUUGUAAAUGAUGUCUUUGGGUUAUUGAUUUUAGUAGAGUUUGGGAAAAUCCUACUGAGUAGUAGGUCGUGGUUUUUUCACCUUUUGAGCUAGGUGUUUUCCACGUAAAAUUGCUGUGCACUUUACUUUCAGUUUUUAUAUUUUUCAAACUGCAGUUGUUAGAACACUUAGAAGAACCAGGUUCUUCUAACGCGAAUAUUAGUUACCACACAAAUCACCCCCCUCUUUUGUGGUAUUGACAUUUAUUUACAUCAGGGGGUCUUACACCUCCCAUGUUUCAGGCGUUAUAUUGUGGCUAAGGUGGCCUAUACUGCUGCUGAGUCUGCUGACCGACCCCAGUUCUGGUUUCCCUGUCUCUGACCCCCAUAGUUAGCCACGUAGUUCAUAUCUUCAAGGUGCUGCUGAUGAUGAUAAAGCUCUGUGUUCCAAGGAUUACCAAUUGGCUGACUAAUGCAAGAUGUGCAUAAGCCCCCAUUGGUAGUAUCUUCUAUGUGUACCUGCUUCUUCUGCCUUGAUUUCUCCACCUUUUUGGUGAGAAAGCUCAUUUGUGUCAGGAGAUUUGUCAUAUUUUUAGCCAUAGUGUUUGAAGGAUCAAGGGGCAUUGAGUGCACCACUAGGGUGAUAGAUGAAUUUGUGGAUGUCCAUCCUGAAUUCUGUGCCAUUUUAUCAAGUAAACUCUGGCCUACUCUCCAUGUCUGUCUUAGGAAUGCCCCACCAGCUGAGGCAUCCACAAUAUUCUUCAACCCAUCUGACAGCCCCAUAUAAAAUCAUUGUCCCAACAUCUAUUCUGGAACACCAUGAUGUGGACACAUAACCAAAUUCCUUUGAACCUGCCCCAUGUUUCAUGCAGUGUCUCCAUGUGUGAAAUAAGUGAAUUUAUCCGGUUGAGGCAUUCUUGAUUGAUUGAGACAAAACGAUUCCCUCAAUACAGCUUAACUCCGUCAAGUCGUGAUCGGCCUCCUCAACUGUGUAUCGAUCGAAAGGCAGGGCGGCACAGCCCCCAACCAAGGGAGUGGUUACGUCCAGUAUGUCCCCCCUUAUUCCCGACAUGCUAUGGUACCCCGGAGUGGGUAGGAGCGGGUCGAGUCCGUAUCGCCGCGGAGCAACAGCCGCGUCCGGAUCUGAUCUAUUUACUCGGCAAUUCAUCCGGUGACUUCACGGUCGCCAAAGAAGCCCCAAGAAGCAUCAAACAUUUCCGAUGAGAUCCAUGGAGCAAUUCUUAGAUAGCAAGCACUAGCUCCCGGUGCGACUUCAUAAAAAGCAAUCAAAGAGAAGAUCGAAGAGAAUGAAACGCACGUAGUGGUUAUUAUAGCGGUUCCUUCUUUUCCUAGAAAACGUCCGAAACAACCUGCUACAAAACUACCGAGCAGGGGUAAAAAUACGAUAAGUAGAUACAUAAUUUCGAGUGUGAUCAGACAACCAAAAAUCAGACAAUGACAGAGCGGCCUGUGAUUGAGUGAUAGAUUGAUCGACGACGGAACGAAGAACGAAACUUUACGACAGCUUUUUCGUAAA
Molecule: long non-coding RNA, 2428 nt
Filed under: Nicotiana benthamiana
Lineage: Eukaryota; Viridiplantae; Streptophyta; Magnoliopsida; Solanales; Solanaceae
Description: long non-coding RNA (NBEN_LNC009498)
Source: RNAcentral